This 4774-nucleotide long non-coding RNA is filed under the name Panax ginseng (ginseng). RNAcentral describes it as "long non-coding RNA (PGIN_LNC018876)". Lineage: Eukaryota; Viridiplantae; Streptophyta; Magnoliopsida; Apiales; Araliaceae. The record is from RNAcentral.
UGCAAAAUACGACAACACAAACUGUGAGUUUAAAUACAAAUAGUCUUCUAGACAAUAUCCACACCCAGAUAAAGUCCUCAUUACAAUUAUUGAUACACUAUUUUACAAAAAUAGUGAGGACUGCUAAAACAACUAUUUAGGACCAUCACUCUAAACCCCGACUGGUUCCUGCUAUAUUCUCGCUUCCUGAGAAGAAAAAUGGAACAAAAAGAAAAAGGGUGAGCUCAACUAGCCCAGUAAAGAAUAUUAUGACUAAGAUAAUAUACAACAAAUUAUCCUUGGUCUUCAAUAGGGAAAAAUUUGAUAGAAUAUAAUAGACAACAAGUUUUAGAUCAACAACUACAGCGGAAACAACAAUUCAUUAGAAGAGUUAAGUAGAGAAUGAAAUCUACUAUCAUAUAUGAAUUUAAAAGUCCAUCAUCAAUAUUUUAUCCCUGUAACAUUAAUCAAUAUACAUCUUGCAUCAAAUAUUCAUCUUUGCACAACGGGCCAAAGAUAUUCAUUUGUAUCACCAGUUGGUCAUGUUCAUCUCAACACCUGUUCAUCUUUGCACUACGGGCCAAAGGUAUUCAUCAGGUAAUCAUUCAUCUUUGCACUACAGGCCAAAGAUAUUCAUCAAGUAUCACCAUUAAGGACUGAGGAUGAUGAAAAAUAUUUUAGAGAAAACGAAUCCAGUGAGACAGAAGGACAAAUAUUAGGGAUUCGUAUUUCGGUUUAUCCAAAUUCAAUAAUUCUCCAUAAUAACCAAUUGUGAAGUAGAAUUCCAAAAUAAAGAUCAAAACAUGGAUACAAUCAAAGAUAGUAACCAUAAAAGACAUAUGGGACAAAGAAUAGAAAAUUUUAUUUUUCGGUGAAUAGUAUCGUAUUUGUGAAUAGUGUCGUAUACGUGAAUAGUAACCCCGACACAAAAAGGUAGAAAUUCCACAAUCAAACUCAUAUCAAUAUUUCGGCAUAAUGAUAUUGAAGAAAAUAAUAUCAUUUAAGAAGAAAAUAACAUCCCUUGCCUCAAAGAAACAGUACUUCGGAAUGGAAUAUCGGAUAUGAUGCUGAAUAAAACUUGUACUGAAUAGCAACUCUCAAAGUAUCUAAAUACUCACAAAAUACGCUAGAUAAUAUAGAGAGAGAAAGCUUAUGUUUCUGGUGUGAUUUUCAAUUCUAAGCACCUAUUUAUAGGUAAAUGCUAGCACGCCGAAACAGACUUGACCGGUCAUGCUACCUGAUGGUUUUACCUGCUACUAUUGCCACCCACCACAUUUGAAAUAAAAUUUGAGCACAUUUCUUCACCAACCACAGGUGGGGCCCACUCAUUCUAGAAUUUUUCACCAAAAUUAUAAAUUUAGAAACUUUAACAAUUUCUGAACCAGUCACCUCUUAAAAUUCAUAACAAAUCAUACGUUAAUUUUUAACCGUUCAAAAUUUGUGGACAUAUACAACUUAUAUAUGUAUAACAUAUCCAAAAAUCACAACGAUCCAAUGGUCGGAUUAAAAAUUAUAACUCACGCAAUACAUCUCAAGAACACUGAUUUUUCGGAUUAUGAGUCCUUCGGACCAGUUUCCUUCCAACAGUCACCACGAAAAAUUCACAAUGAAUUUUUGGGUGAUUUCAGUUUUUACGGUUAGCUUACUUCUAGGGCUUUCUUUUGAUAUAUGGCUCAUCUUCUAAUUCAUUAUACACAAAGAGUUGUGGAUUUUACAAAAUCAAGUAAUAAACUAAUUUUUCUAAAAAUCCCAUAUUUUGUUCUUCAUUUCGACAAAAUACUGAUAAAACACCUCAGUUUUAAUUCCUUCAUUUACAACCACAUAAAAUAUAUCCAUCAUUUAUAUCCACAUAAAAUAAAUAUUUCCUUAUCAUAUAAAUCAAUAAAUAAUUAUUCACAAAUAAUAUUACAGAAUCACAAAAAUGACAACCAGGCCGUUACCAAGAAAGAGGGGGCUUUUCGAUAAUGAUUUCUCCUUACUGGCACGCAAUUAGGUGACCAAACCUUUCCUUGACAGAACUUUCUAGACAUUGCCAAUAAUGCUAUCUAAUAAUAUUAUUCAAAUAAUAUGAAUUAUUGAUCUGAUAAUGGGAAAUACUGUGCAAUGACAAUUAUUGAAANNNNNNNNNNNNNNNNNNNNNNNNNNNNNNNNNNNNNNNNNNNNNNNNNNNNNNNNNNNNNNNNNNNNNNNNNNNNNNNNNNNNNNNNNNNNNNNNNNNNUACUGUAACAAUUAUUGAGUUGUGCUUUCUUACGUAAGAAUCAAUAAUUUAAAAAUACUGUGCAAUACCGUGUGCUACUGUGCAACCACGCGUAUUACUGUAUUUUAACCACCGGGUAUUCCAACAGUGUUAACGGUAACAACUAUGUCGUUUAUUUAUAAAAACUCAAACUUGUCGUUUUUUCUUCAUCCGACAGUUAUUCUGUUAUGGGGCUCACAAAUGGCUGCGCCGUCGUACGAAUAUUCCCGACAACAAGAAUAUUCCACGACCAAACGAACCCCGACAACAAUGAAUAUUUUAUAACCACUUGCUUAAUUUAUAAAAUUUGCACAUUUAACCCAUAACCAAAGUAUUAUAUCAAAUUAUUACCUUAUUAUUUCAAGAUAAUAAAUAGGGAAAUUCAAUUUUAUUUAUAAUAAGUUGGGGUCUUAUAGUUGUAAUUUUAAUAUUCAGAAUGGAUAAUUUUAUUAUAGUUGUAAUUUUUUGAACUUGUACCAACUUUAAAUUAUAUAAAUGAUGAUACAUUUGUAAUAUUUAGUUUAAUUCAAUAUAAUUUUUAAAUUAUGUUUUGUUUGUUUUAAUAUUGAAUUAAAUUCUUGAAAUUUUAAAUUUUAUUAUUUAAUAGCUAUUUUGUUUAUGAAUAAAACUAAUACGCUAAAAAUAUGUUUAAACUUUGAACAAUUGCAAUUUAAUUAUUUAAUAGCUAUCUUGUUUAUGAAUAAAACUAAUACGUUAAAAAUAUGUUUGAACUUUGAACAAUUGCAUGUUUAUGUUUGAACUUUGACAUUAACAAUAUGGAUAUGUGUUUGAAUUUUAAGCAAAUGCCUUUAUUAUCUUUAUUGUAUGUUGUUUUGCUUUAUAUUAUUGUUUUGUUUGGAUAAAUGUAAGAUAAAAUAUUAAAAUUGGCUUAAAAUAAAAAAUCCCGCCCAGGCCCCUUUAGGCCCCCUCCGCCCUCCCGCCUAGCGCCUUUUAGAACAUUGAUUGUAAUGCUUUUUUUCAUUUUCUGAUUCUAUGCGCAUGUUGUUGUUUCAUUCAGGGGAGUUAUAAACCCAUUUUUGUUGAGAACUCCCUUUCCAAUUCCAUGUUACUAUUUUUCAGCUCAUAUCCUCCAAGAUGGCCUGAUAUUUCAUAUGAUUGCAUGAAGUCCACUUGAUUUUAUAUUGCCUUAGUUUUUUAGCAUAAUUUCAGGCAUUUGGCUAUAAUGAUUGCUAAAAGUCACCUUUGUUUUUCCUCUUCGAAUUUUUACAUUGACAAUAAUGUGUUAUAUGGAUCCAAAAUUCUCUGGUAUUACAUUCAUAUUACUUUGUUUAUUCUCAUUCUGUGGUCUUUCUCAUGGUGUGUGAGUGAUUUAUAUGUUACCCUCAUUAACUCGUUAAGCUACCUAGUUGCUAGUUGUCAUUCUUUUGAGUAGAAUUUUUUUGACAUCCCCUGAUCGGAACUGGAAAUCAGAAAUUUUAGUGAGAAUUACAAUACAUUUUUUUAUGAGGUUCUGCUUGCAAAAAAAGAAAUCUGCUGCUGCAAACUUUGUUUCCCAAUAGACUUUGAGGAAUUUUUUGUAAUUAAAAAACAGCAAUCAUGAUAUUUUCCUAUUGGAGCAAACCGAUCAAGCAUGUCUAUUCCUCCAACCCCCCAGGUAUUGCUGAUUAUUUCUAGGCCUGGCCCUUCAUUAUCAUAUCCUUUUUGAACUAGUUACUGAUAUAAUCUUCAAACCGACCAGAGGACAUAAUUAGUCUGACUAGAAGUCUUUGGAUGAAACUACAUUAAAACUACGAAUUGGAUGCAUAGUGCUUGGAGAUUCUAUGGAAUAUGUUAUGUUGGUCUCUCUAAGAAUCUUGCCAAGGGCCAAGGCCAGGACAUGGAAUAACUUUACUUUGGUUGGAAGUAUGCAUUUUUUCCUGCAUCACAGGCUCAAAGACCACAAACUGUUUGAUCUGAUGUAAAUCUCAAUGAGUAACAAUCAAAUGAACCACAUGAAGCAUUGGAUUUUUUUCCUCUUUUUUUUUGGACAGGUCGCAUGAAGAAUAAGAUCUAACUUUAUUCAUUCGUAAUGCCUUUUAUAGAAUCUUCUUGUUUUAUCUAAAAUGUAAAAGUACUUACCGGAUCAUCUACUGCAUUCAUCCGUAGUGUAGAUGUAACAUGUACUAGUAAAUCAGUGUAAAUGAAUUUUGCUUGUGUAAUCUUUUGAAGGUACCUGAACUUGUCAAAAACUAAUAAUAUUUGAAGGUACUUGUAAAAGUUAAAACAAAAUAUACUUUGCUAAUAUUUUACAGCUUCCGGGUUCACACAGAAGAUGAUCAUCCUCCUGGGCAAUGGAAAACAGUUCCUUGCUUGCUUUCUAUUUUUCCUGUAGAUUAUUAUCAUGUAUUGUUAAAAGUGUAUUAUGAUUGUUGAUAGGCAGGCAUAUGGGGGAAAAAGGAAUAGGCUCCUUGCUUGUUGUAUUGUUUUAAAUGUAUCAAGAUUGUUGAUAGGCAUGGCAUGUAGGGAAAGGGAAUAAAUAGGCUGGGCUACUUGUUUAUAUACUAUGCGAGUCUGACACACAAUACUUUGGUACUGGUUAAAUAAUUUUUAAUAUUUUC